Molecule: ribosomal RNA, 216 nt
Filed under: Trametes cinnabarina
Lineage: Eukaryota; Fungi; Basidiomycota; Agaricomycetes; Polyporales; Polyporaceae
Description: partial large subunit ribosomal RNA
Source: RNAcentral
CACAGCACUUUGGAAAGAGAGUUAAACAGUACGUGAAAUUGCUGAAAGGGAAACGCUUGAAGUCAGUCGCGUUGUCCGGACUCAGCCUUGCUUCGGCUUGGUGCACUUCCCGGAUGACGGGCCAGCUUUUGACCGCUAAAAGGGCUGGAGGAAUGUGGCACCUUCGGGUGUGUUAUAGCCUUCAGUCGCAUACGGCGGUUGGGAUCGAGGAAGCAG